GACGAAGGGGGCUAGCGUUGUUCGGAAUUACUGGGCGUAAAGCGCACGUAGGCGGACUAUUAAGUCAGGGGUGAAAUCCCGGGGCUCAACCCCGGAACUGCCUUUGAUACUGCUAGUCUCGAGUCCGGAAGAGGUGAGUGGAAUUCCGAGUGUAGAGGUGAAAUUCGUAGAUAUUCGGAGGAACACCAGUGGCGAAGGCGGCUCACUGGUCCGGUACUGACGCUGAGGAGCGAAAGCGUGGGGAGCAAACGGG
Molecule: ribosomal RNA, 253 nt
Filed under: uncultured bacterium
Lineage: Bacteria
Description: partial 16S ribosomal RNA
Rfam family: Bacterial small subunit ribosomal RNA
Source: RNAcentral